GACGAACCGUCCAAACGUUGUUCGGAAUCACUGGGCUUAAAGGGCGCGUAGGCGGGCUUCCAAGUCAGGGGUGAAAUCUUUCGGCUCAACCGGAAAAGAGCCUUUGAUACUGGGAGCCUCGAGGGAGGUAGGGGUCGAUGGAACUGGUGGUGGAGCGGUGAAAUGCGUAGAUAUCACUAGGAACGCCGGUGGCGAAAGCGAUCGACUGGACCUCUUCUGACGCUGAGGCGCGAAAGCCAGGGGAGCAAACGGG
This 253-nucleotide ribosomal RNA is filed under the name uncultured bacterium. Its description in RNAcentral is "partial 16S ribosomal RNA". It matches the Rfam family "Bacterial small subunit ribosomal RNA", at positions 524 to 776 of the family's 1533-position model. The record is from RNAcentral.